CAAGGCAUAGCAUCUGGAAUGCAUUUCACCUACACUGAACUAUAUAGUUGUUCGACUCAACUUGCCAUGA
Molecule: transfer RNA, 70 nt
Filed under: Neoamphitrite affinis
Lineage: Eukaryota; Metazoa; Annelida; Polychaeta; Terebellida; Terebellidae
Description: tRNA-Val
Source: RNAcentral